Molecule: ribosomal RNA, 497 nt
Filed under: uncultured bacterium
Lineage: Bacteria
Description: partial 16S ribosomal RNA
Rfam family: Bacterial small subunit ribosomal RNA
Source: RNAcentral
GAUGAACGCUGGCGGCGUGCCUAACACAUGCAAGUCGAACGGAAAGACGAUGAGCUUGCUCCGCUCACGUUAGCGGCGGGCGGGUGAGUAACACGUGGAUCACCUCCCUAUAUUUCGGGGAUAAUUACGGAAAACCGGAUAUAAUACCAUAUAAUAUAUUGCACCGCAGUGUGCAAUGGAUAAUUACGGUUUUUCUGUCUCGAAUAGCGGCUUUCGCGCCGGAUUGGCUAGUUGGUAAGGUCCCGGCUUACCAAGGCAACGAUGCGUGGCCGACAGGAGAGGGUGAUAGGCCACCUGGGAAGGUGGACAGGGUCAAGAGUACUAAGGGAGGCAGCAGUAGGGAAUCUGCCGCAACGGGCGAAAGCAUGACGGAGCAACGCCGAGUGAGUGAUGAAGGUCUUCGGAUCGUAAAGCCCUGUUAUUAGGGAAGAACAGAUGUGGCCGUAAAUAUGGCGGUCUUGACGGUACCUAAUCAGAAAGCCACGGCUAACUACGUG